Neopsephotus bourkii (Bourke's parrot) is the source of this 444-nucleotide long non-coding RNA. RefSeq lists it as uncharacterized. The transcript is spliced from 2 exons. The record is from RefSeq and is a predicted model, not a curated record. NCBI's taxonomy places the organism in Eukaryota, Metazoa, Chordata, Aves, Psittaciformes, Psittacidae.
GUAAAGGAUUUUUAAUCCUUUUCUCAUCAUCUGAGGAAAGUUUCAGAAUUACAAGAGACAUCUCAGUUUGUCAAUGGCAGCAACAAGGAAGCACCGAGCCAAGCCCCCGCAAAGCAGUUACCUCCUAACCGUGACAGCACAGGUGUGGUAUUUAAGUCAUCUUUCUGCAUUAGGCAGAGACUGCCCUGGUGCAAGCUUUAAGGAUGACAAAGACAGGAGGAUGGAGACACUUUCAGGUGCCCAUGUCAACUCGUCUCCCUCCAGUUCUCUGCCUGGGGUUUCAGUUAGUAGAGGCACAGACUCUACUGCUCUCCACUAGACCCAGUUUUGCUGCUUAGAAUGCACCCCCGACCUGUCAUAAGACAUUACUUAUAAUUUAUCAUUAGUAUCUUACACAUUGUUUAUUGUAUGCCAUAUAAAUCAAAUAAACUCAAAGAUAUAUGG